RNAcentral lists this ribosomal RNA (466 nucleotides) under uncultured bacterium. Its description in RNAcentral is "partial 16S ribosomal RNA". It matches the Rfam family "Bacterial small subunit ribosomal RNA", at positions 28 to 507 of the family's 1533-position model. The record is from RNAcentral.
GACGAACGCUGGCGGCGUGCUUAACACAUGCAAGUCGAACGGAAAGGCCCUGCUUGCAGGGUACUCGAGUGGCGAACGGGUGAGUAACACGUGGGUGAUCUGCCCUGCACUUCGGGAUAAGCUUGGGAAACUGGGUCUAAUACCGGAUAGGAGCCAUCUUUAGUGUGGUGGUUGGAAAGUUUUUUCGGUGUAGGAUGAGCUCGCGGCCUAUCAGCUUGUUGGUGGGGUAAUGGCCCACCAAGGCGGCGACGGGUAGCCGGCCUGAGAGGGUGUACGGCCACAUUGGGACUGAGAUACGGCCCAGACUCCUACGGGAGGCAGCAGUGGGGAAUAUUGCACAAUGGGCGCAAGCCUGAUGCAGCGACGCCGCGUGGGGGAUGAAGGCCUUCGGGUUGUAAACUCCUUUCGCUAGGGACGAAGCUUUGUUGUGACGGUACCUAGAUAAGAAGCACCGGCUAACUACGUG